This 301-nucleotide ribosomal RNA is filed under the name uncultured bacterium. Its description in RNAcentral is "partial 16S ribosomal RNA". It matches the Rfam family "Bacterial small subunit ribosomal RNA", at positions 509 to 808 of the family's 1533-position model. The record is from RNAcentral.
CAGCCGCCGCGGGAAUACGGAGGGGGCAAGCGUUGUCCGGAAUUAUUGGGCGUAAAGCGCGCGCAGGCGGUUUUUUAAGUCUGGUGUCUAAGUGCGGGGCUCAACCCCGUGACGCACUGGAAACUGGGAGACUUGAGUGCAGAAGAGGAGAGCGGAAUUCCACGUGUAGCGGUGAAAUGCGUAGAGAUGUGGAGGAACACCAGUGGCGAAGGCGGCUCUCUGGACUGUAACUGACGCUGAGGCGCGAAAGCGUGGGGAGCAAACAGGAUUAGAUACCCGCGUAGUCCCUGUCUCUUAUACA